AGUGGGGGAUAACGUAGCGAAAGUUACGCUAAUACCGCAUAUGCCCUGAGGGGGAAAGGAGGGGAUCGUAAGACCUUUCGCUUUCGGAGUGGCCGAUAUCAGAUUAGCUAGUUGGUGAGGUAAAGGCUCACCAAGGCGACGAUCUGUAGCGGGUCUGAGAGGAUGAUCCGCCACACUGGGACUGAGACACGGCCCAGACUCCUACGGGAGGCAGCAGUGGGGAAUUUUGGACAAUGGGGGCAACCCUGAUCCAGCCAUGCCGCGUGAGUGAAGAAGGCCUUCGGGUUGUAAAGCUCUUUCGGACGGAAAGAAAUCCUAUUCGCUAAUACCGGGUGGGGAUGACGGUACCGUAAGAAGAAGCACCGGCUAACUACGUGCCAGCAGCCGCGGUAAUACGUAGGGUGCGAGCGUUAAUCGGAAUUACUGGGCGUAAAGCGUGCGCAGGCGGUUUUGUAAGACAGACGUGAAAUCCCCGGGCUUAACCUGGGAACUGCGUUUGUGACUGCAAGGCUAGAGUGUGGCAGAGGGGGGUAGAAUUCCA
RNAcentral lists this ribosomal RNA (541 nucleotides) under uncultured Gallionellaceae bacterium. RNAcentral's name for it is "bacterial SSU rRNA". It matches the Rfam family "Bacterial small subunit ribosomal RNA", at positions 135 to 671 of the family's 1533-position model. The record is from RNAcentral. Lineage: Bacteria; Pseudomonadati; Pseudomonadota; Betaproteobacteria; Nitrosomonadales; Gallionellaceae.